Molecule: transfer RNA, 82 nt
Filed under: Ruegeria sp. R14_0
Lineage: Bacteria; Pseudomonadati; Pseudomonadota; Alphaproteobacteria; Rhodobacterales; Roseobacteraceae
Description: tRNA-OTHER
Source: RNAcentral
GGAAAAAGUGGAGCCUUUCACUCCCUGCUAAGGGAGUAGGCGGGAAACCGUCUCGAGGGUUCGAAUCCCUUCGUCUCCGCCA